This 468-nucleotide ribosomal RNA is filed under the name uncultured bacterium. Its description in RNAcentral is "partial 16S ribosomal RNA". It matches the Rfam family "Bacterial small subunit ribosomal RNA", at positions 28 to 507 of the family's 1533-position model. The record is from RNAcentral.
GACGAACGCUGGCGGCGUGCUUAACACAUGCAAGUCGAACGGAAAGGCCCUGCUUUUGUGGGGUGCUCGAGUGGCGAACGGGUGAGUAACACGUGAGUAACCUGCCCUUGACUUUGGGAUAACUUCAGGAAACUGGGGCUAAUACCGGAUAGGAGCUCCUGCUGCAUGGUGGGGGUUGGAAAGUUUCGGCGGUUGGGGAUGGACUCGCGGCUUAUCAGCUUGUUGGUGGGGUAGUGGCUUACCAAGGCUUUGACGGGUAGCCGGCCUGAGAGGGUGACCGGCCACAUUGGGACUGAGAUACGGCCCAGACUCCUACUGGAGGCAGCAGUGCAGAAUAUUACACAAUGGGCGGAAGCCUGAUGCAGCAACGCCGCGUGCGGGAUGACGGCCUUCGGGUUGUAAACCGCUUUCGCCUGUGACGAAGCGUGAGUGACGGUAAUGGGUAAAGAAGCACCGGCUAACUACGUG